CAUUUUGGAGCAGGAUGGCAAGAGGGACGGUGGCCACAUACCUGCAUGGAGUCCUUCUCCUGGCUCUGUGGAAACCCUCGCUGCAAGGAGGGGUAUAUGUACCUGCUGGAGGUGCGACUGGAGGAGUCGGGCCAGGAGCUGGAACCGGAUUUGGACCAGGAGGCAUUGGGACAGGAUUUCAGCCUGGAGGAGGUGGACCAGGAGGCACUGGUACUGCUCUAGGAGGCUUUGGACCAGGAGCUGGUGGAGGGGGCUAUGGGGGUCAAAGGCCAGGUGGUGUAGGCCCAGGAGUCGGACCAGGUGGAGUGGGACCAGGUGGAGUUGGACCGGGUCUGGGACCAGGAGGAGUGGGACCAGGAGGUUUUAGGCCCAGCAGCUUUGGUCCUGGAGGACUGGGACCUGGAGGCAUUGGGACUGGUGUCAAGCCUCCAAAAACAGGAGGCGGCUAUGGUACUGGUGGAACAGGACUAGGACCAGGCGGAGUCGGGACGGGUGGUUUUGGAGCAGGUGGUGUUGGUCCUGGUGGUUACGGAGCUGGGCCUGGAGGAGUUGGUCCAGGAGGUUUUGGAACCGGUACUCAAGGCAUAUUCAUCAUGAUUUUUUUUUUCUUUUUUUGGGGGGGGGGGGAGGGUACAGGUAGCAUAUCAUAAAUUGUAGAUUUUCAGCACAACAGUGUGUCUCAGCAACAAGUGACAGGCAUAUUUGAUAAAUAAUAUAAAACAUAAAUUAAUACAUUAACUUCACAAAGAGAUUACUCGUGAAAAAAAAAUCAAGUAUUAAUAAUGCAAUCUGCUAUUUUACGUAUCGGUAUCGGACAUAAAAAAGUGGUAUCGUGCCAUCUCUACAUAGUACAUGUUAAAGUUCGGGGAUCUGUGUUCAGCCUCUGGUUAAUUCCAGGGAGCAGGAUAAGAACAGCAUCGAUGUACCUUCAUUUCAUAUCUUCUGUCUUCUAGUUUACUGUUGGUGGGGACCCAGCC
Molecule: long non-coding RNA, 977 nt
Organism: Astatotilapia calliptera (eastern happy)
Lineage: Eukaryota; Metazoa; Chordata; Actinopteri; Cichliformes; Cichlidae
Source: Ensembl